This is a long non-coding RNA of Carassius auratus (goldfish), 775 nucleotides long. RefSeq lists it as uncharacterized. Lineage: Eukaryota; Metazoa; Chordata; Actinopteri; Cypriniformes; Cyprinidae. The transcript is spliced from 3 exons. The record is from RefSeq and is a predicted model, not a curated record.
GGGCUUUGACCAAACGAGGACCAGACAUCUGUUCAGUGGCAGAAGGUCAAAAGGCUGUCACGUAUGACACUGUGGUCUUCAAGAAAGCAAAAAAACAUGAACCAAACCAGGUUUCAAUUAGCCACUCUCCUGAACAAUUUGAAGUGAUCUACAGCACUCUAAACCUUCACCAAUAACACAUUAUCUCUGGCCAUUGAAAUUCUGAAUAUUACAAUCUGCAGUAAUGGCAUCUUCGCCUGUUUUACAUCAUGCAGUUUCUUUUAAAGCUGCAAAGGACGCCACGAGACAGAAAAAGAGGAACCUUCAGAACACAUUUUAGAGUUUAAGUGUUGCAUGUGGGUCAUGGUUCACCAGAUUAUUAUUUUGCUAUUAAGAUUUUUGCCACAUCUUUAAAAGUGUCACCUAUUUUUUGUUAAGUGGUAAAAGUUCUUCUGCUGUUCUACUUUUAUUCUUAGUCAAUGUGAGAAGCAAAACUGAAACAUCUUUGCCACAUGACAGAAUGACACAAUGAGUUCAGGUCAGCUUUUAGGUCAAUGAUUAGUUAGACCACUUCAGAGAAACCUGAAAAAAUAUGCUCAUUUUAAAUCUAAUUACUUAGUAUUUGUUUUUGCAUAAAUAACUGUUCUGUUUUGUGUUUUGAGCUACUUAAUACCUUAGCAUUAUUAUUGUUGAUUGUGUAAGAUUUAGUUGUAAAACUGUCAUUUGUAGUUUAGAAAAUAUUUAAUGGCUUUUCCAGUGAAUGUAUUAUAAAUGUUAUUACAUUAAAAAAAAUCUA